Molecule: transfer RNA, 75 nt
Filed under: bacterium
Lineage: Bacteria
Also listed under: 1 other name
Description: tRNA-Asn
Rfam family: tRNA
About the family: Transfer RNA (tRNA) molecules are approximately 80 nucleotides in length. Their secondary structure includes four short double-helical elements and three loops (D, anti-codon, and T loops). Further hydrogen bonds mediate the characteristic L-shaped molecular structure. tRNAs have two regions of fundamental functional importance: the anti-codon, which is responsible for specific mRNA codon recognition, and the 3' end, to which the tRNAs corresponding amino acid is attached (by aminoacyl-tRNA synthetases). tRNAs cope with the degeneracy of the genetic code in two manners: having more than one tRNA (with a specific anti-codon) for a particular amino acid; and 'wobble' base-pairing, i.e. permitting non-standard base-pairing at the 3rd anti-codon position.
Source: RNAcentral
UCCGGCAUAGCUCAAUGGUAGAGCGACUCCCUGUUAAGGAGUGGGUUCCUGGUUCGAGUCCAGGUGCCGGAGCCA